This 80-nucleotide signal recognition particle RNA is filed under the name Pontivivens nitratireducens. Its description in RNAcentral is "Bacterial small signal recognition particle RNA". The stretch from base 1 to 68 matches the Rfam family "Bacterial small signal recognition particle RNA", at positions 13 to 80 of the family's 97-position model. Rfam says of the family: The signal recognition particle (SRP) is a universally conserved ribonucleoprotein involved in the co-translational targeting of proteins to membranes. Archaeal SRP consists of a 7S RNA and homologues of the eukaryotic SRP19 and SRP54 proteins. Lineage: Bacteria; Pseudomonadati; Pseudomonadota; Alphaproteobacteria; Rhodobacterales; Paracoccaceae. The record is from RNAcentral.
CGGGCAGGCACCUCGCCAACCUGGUCAGGGCCGGAAGGCAGCAGCCACAACGAGACUCGCUUGGGUCGUCGUCCAGCCUC